AUUUUUCAAGGUCAUUAGUCACUUAACCUUUUGUAUGAGGUCAAAUGUCUUUAUAAUGAACUUAAUUGAAGUUAUAAUCAAAUAACUUCAUAUCAAGACAUUUCAGGGGCACCAACUCCUAUAAGAUGCCAUUUAAUUGUAUAAGACUAAAUGUAACAUAUCUUCAUUACAAUAAAGCUGACAUUUUGCACUUGUUCUUUUAUGUGUAUCUCUCAAAGUGUCGGAGAAAUGCAAAAACAAGCAAAAGUCACAAUUUAGAACUUGACCUUGACCUUUGACCUUGACCUCAUUUUCUAAGUUGGGACCCAUUGGACUCAAAUAAAGACAUUCCAGGGUUAUACGGUUAACGGUUUAUGAGUUAAAUAAACAUACCGACAAAUUUAUUUUGUAAAGGUAGAUAACUCCUAUAAAAUUUCAUCGAAUCGCUUCGAUCCAAAUGCGCCAAAAAUUACUGAGGAUGUAACAAA
RNAcentral lists this long non-coding RNA (467 nucleotides) under Mytilus galloprovincialis (Mediterranean mussel). Lineage: Eukaryota; Metazoa; Mollusca; Bivalvia; Mytilida; Mytilidae. The record is from RNAcentral.